Dipodomys ordii (Ord's kangaroo rat) is the source of this 60-nucleotide non-coding RNA. The record is from Rfam. NCBI's taxonomy places the organism in Eukaryota, Metazoa, Chordata, Mammalia, Rodentia, Heteromyidae.
GUGGCUCAGUGGUAGAGUGCUUGCCUUGCAUGCAAGAGGCCCUGGGUUCGAUUCCUCAGC